Molecule: long non-coding RNA, 1161 nt
Organism: Medicago truncatula (barrel medic)
Lineage: Eukaryota; Viridiplantae; Streptophyta; Magnoliopsida; Fabales; Fabaceae
Exons: 3
Source: RefSeq, a predicted model, not a curated record
CCUCGUUUUGAAGAGGCCCAUCAACUGAACAUCUCUACGAAAUUCAAAACAACAGAAUGCACGCGCUGCCACUUUUCGCCUUGUUUGUAUCACACUGAAGUCUGAACUCAACUGUCCGGGAAACGCUACCGGACGUGGUCGCCGGUCACCAGGAACAGUGAUCAUAGUUGCUUCUGUGUGACCAAUGAAUCACUCUCUUGCAUAUAUUCAAGAUGAGGAUAUCCAGAAAGGAAAAGCUAUGCAUGUGAUAGUUGGUCCAGCUCUUUGGAACCCUCCCUGUAAUAUGCUGAGGGAACUAUUUUACUAAAAGAUGGGUCCUCUCUUAUUAACAUCCUCACAGCAUAUAAAUAAAAAGGGCCGAUUAUAAUCCUAUCCUUCUCUCGGAGGAAGAAAAGGAGAUUGCACUUUCAAUGCAUGGAAAUGCAGCUUUUGUGAGUAUAUGAAUUACUUGUACUAAAUUACACUGUUCACCUUUUAUGUCAACUGACAUAAAAAUUGCAAUUGAAUGCAAUCUCUUUUUUUAAUCAAAUGCAGCUGAGAAAAACACUUUUAGAGGAUUGAGAUUGUGAUAAAAUGCAUGUACAUGCAUAACAAACCACAAAGUUCUAUCAGUACUCAAACUAUAUGAAGAUAAUGUGAACUAACCUAGGGCAAAUCCAGUCUCCACUUUUCCAUCCUGGGGGAGAACUACAAUCUGAUCCAUAUCCUCCAGAACCCACCAUGUUACCCCCAUAUCCAGAAGAAUAAGGAUCUUUAAAUGCACCACAUCUAUAGCAGUUUGAUCGGCUUGCAUAGUUGUGAGCUCCACAGUUCAUAGAAGUGCAAAACCAGUCCCCUGCCAACGUUUCAGUCCUGUUAUAUCUAUAGGUCGAUGGGUCAGGGCCUCCAUACUUUGGGUAUCCACAAUUUUGGCAUGCUUCUCUCUUCUUGAAAUUUAUGUGCUCGCAAGCACCACACAUCCAAUCUCCUCCAGACCAGCUCAUUUUCCUGUUCAUUGUGGAAACAUGUGAAGUGGUAAAUUUCAAGAUAUUUAGGUUUCAAUGCAGCUAGAUAAAAAAACUCUGAUUCAAUUCCCUGUGUAUGUAGCCUAGAAUUGGCACAAUGGAGAAUAUUAUCAAUUUUUCUUUUAUAAGUUAUAAAUUCAAUUCAUUAUUUUUUUUU